RNAcentral lists this ribosomal RNA (23 nucleotides) under uncultured fungus. RNAcentral describes it as "partial 18S ribosomal RNA". Lineage: Eukaryota; Fungi. The record is from RNAcentral.
UAGGUGACCUGCGGAAGGAUCAU